UCCAAAUACCGGAAGAAGAUUGAUUGGUUCAAGUAGAGAGAUUUUCCAGUGUUCUGUACAGAGAAGGUCAAUAACAUUGUCAUGGGUACAUGCCAAGAAGGAACAAUCUCAAACAGCCAAUUGGUUGAAGCAUCUGCUGUUAUGGUAAUAAUACAUUCUUUUUUGUUUUCUUUCUUGAGCGAAAUCAAUUCGAAUUAGGAUUCAUUACUUGGGGCUUCACCAUUCAGGGACCAAUUUGGGCCAAUCUCCUCAAGGUCUUUGGAUUCAAAGGCUCAAUCUUGCUGCACUCCAUGUGCUACUAACGAUAGUUGCCAGAUUGUUAAAUCAAGAA
RNAcentral lists this long non-coding RNA (331 nucleotides) under Linum usitatissimum (flax). RNAcentral's name for it is "long non-coding RNA (LUSI_LNC004766)". The record is from RNAcentral. Lineage: Eukaryota; Viridiplantae; Streptophyta; Magnoliopsida; Malpighiales; Linaceae.